This 352-nucleotide unclassified non-coding RNA is filed under the name soil metagenome. Its description in RNAcentral is "partial contains 5.8S ribosomal RNA, internal transcribed spacer 2, and large subunit ribosomal RNA". The stretch from base 1 to 120 matches the Rfam family "5.8S ribosomal RNA", at positions 35 to 154 of the family's 154-position model. The record is from RNAcentral.
GAUGAAGAACGCAGCGAAAUGCGAUAAGUAAUGUGAAUUGCAGAAUUCAGUGAAUCAUCGAAUCUUUGAACGCACAUUGCGCCCGCCAGUAUUCUGGCGGGCAUGCCUGUUCGAGCGUCAUUACAACCCUCAGGCCCCCGGGCCUGGCGUUGGGGAUCGGCGGAGCCCCCCGUGGGCACACGCCGUCCCCCAAAUGCAGUGGCGGUCCCGCCGCAGCUUCCAUCGCGUAGUAGCUAACACCUCGCGACUGGAGAGCGGCGCGGCCACGCCGUAAAACACCCAACUCUUCUGAAGUUGACCUCGAAUCAGGUAGGAACACCCGCUGAACUUAAGCAUAUCAAUAAGCGGAGGA